This 441-nucleotide ribosomal RNA is filed under the name uncultured bacterium. RNAcentral's name for it is "partial 16S ribosomal RNA". It matches the Rfam family "Bacterial small subunit ribosomal RNA", at positions 338 to 795 of the family's 1533-position model. The record is from RNAcentral.
CCUACGGGAGGCUGCAGUGGGGAAUAUUGCACAAUGGGGGAAACCCUGAUGCAGCGAAGCCGCGUGAGUGAAGAAGUAUUUCGGCAUGUAAAGCUCUAUCAGCAGGGAAGAAGAAAGACGGUACCUGACUAAGAAGCCCCGGCCAACUACGGGACAGCAGCCGAGGUAAUACGUAGGGGGCAGGCGUUAACCGGAUUUAAUGGGGGUAACGGGAGCGUAGGCGGUAUGGGAAGUCUGAAGGUAAAGCCCAGGGCUUAACCCUCGGACUGCUUUGGAAACUGUUAGACUAGAGUGCUGGAGGGGUAAGUGGAAUGCCUGGUGUAGCGGUGAAAUGCGUAGAUAUGAGGAGGAACACCAGUUGCGAAGGCGGCUUACUGGACAGUAACUGACGGUGAGGCUCGAAAGCGUGGGGAGCAAACAGGAGUAGAUACCCGGGUAGUC